Molecule: RNA transcript, 2773 nt
Organism: Lotus japonicus
Lineage: Eukaryota; Viridiplantae; Streptophyta; Magnoliopsida; Fabales; Fabaceae
Gene name: protein MOS2
Exons: 3
Source: RefSeq, a predicted model, not a curated record
CACUAGUUGAAAACCAAGACGCUCUGCUCUUUCUUUCCCUUGUAGUCCCUCUCUAACCAUGAAACUCUCAUUCUCCCUCCCUUCCUCCAAAUCCUCCAAGCACACCAACAAGCCCGAUCACGGCGGCGACGACGACGGCGCCGGCGCCACCAAACAUUUAAUCACCGAAUUCGACCCUUCCAAACCCCCACCUCUUUCCCAACCCAAAACCCUAAUUCCCCCAAUCCAAAACCAAUGGCGUCCCCUCAAGAAACCCAAGAUGAACAACCUCCUCCUCCCCCUCACCGAACCCCAGCACCAACACUCCCUCGCCUUCGAACCUGACACCGCCGCCGCCGCGGAACCCGAUUCCGACAUCUCCUACGGCCUCAACCUCCGCCGCGACGCCAAGCAGACCGAAGACAACGCCCAUGAUGAUGAUGCCGCUGCUCCGCGGCGCCGUUUUCAGCCUGAAGCGAUGAUGCUGCAGAAGCUUAAGGAUGAUCUGGAGAAGCUGCCGGAUGACCAGGGGUUUGACGAGUUCAAGGAUAUCCCUGUCGAGGGCUUCGGCGCCGCGCUGCUCGCUGGUUACGGCUGGUCGGAAGGGAUGGGGAUUGGGAAGAACCCUAAGGAGGAUGUUAAGGUGGUGGAGUACAAACGACGGGCUGGAAAGGAAGGAUUGGGAUUCGUCGGUGAUGCACCGGUUUCCCGUCACCAGAAGAAGGAGGGUGGAGCAGCAGAGAAUGGCAAGGAAAAGAAAGAGAAGGAGAAGGAGAAGGUUGUGAGAAUUGUUGGGGGAAGAGAUGCGGGGUUGAAGGGCAGUGUCGUGUCGAGAAUUGGGGAUGAUUUUCUUGUGCUGAAACUCGUAGAGAGCGGGGAGCAAGUGAAGGUCAAGAUGGGUGAUGUUGCUGAAUUGGGUUCUGUGGAAGAAGAGAGGUGCUUGAGAAAAUUGAAGGACUUGAAGAUUCGGCGUCGCAAUGAGGACAAAGGGGCUAAGAGUAAACGUGGAAGGGAUGGAGUUGAGGAUAUGAGAGGGGAUCGCGGCAGGGAAGAGCAGGGGAAGAAGCAGGCUUCUUGGCUUACAAGUCAUAUUCGGGUUAGGGUUGUCAGCCGAGAUUUAAAAGGGGGGAGGUUGUAUUUAAAGAAAGGAGAGAUUUUGGAUGUAGUUGGGCCUGCUACUUGUGAUCUAUCUUUGGAUGACAGCAGGGAGAUCAUUCAAGGAGUGUCUCAAGAUCUUCUCGAGACAGUUAUCCCGCGACGUGGGGGACCAGUUCUAGUGUUGUCUGGUAAACACAAGGGAGCCUUUGGGAGUCUGGUUGAGAAGGAUUUGGACAGAGAAAUUGCCAUUGUUAGGGAUGCUGACACCCAUGAGCUGCUCAAAGUCAAACUUGAACAAGUUGCAGAAUAUAUGGGGGACCCAAGCUUAUUGGGACAUUGAUUCUGUUGAAGCAACAGAUUUACAAGAACCCUAAAUCACUAAAUCAGGGCGUGGUUACUCAACAAGGGUUGGGCACUGGAAAGCAAUUGGUGAUUAUGUUUCUCAAGGGUUUAAGACGUUCAGUAAGCUUAUUAAGCAGCAUCAAGGCUGACAAGCAGUCCAACAACCACGAUAUUCUGAAGUUGUUGCUCUGAUGAUUCCUUUAUCCUAUUAUAAUUGAAGGUGAUGGCUCUCCCGGCUGAAGAUGGCAACAUUGGGCGGUGAAGCAGAUUAUACAAGUCAAAUUCUGAAUUCCGGCAAGUCUGAGGUUGGUGCCCUCUAUACAGAAUUUUUUGAUGGCAAUGUAAAGAAAGGGGAAGAUCAAUAUGUCAGUGACCUUGAUGCUCUUUCUUAUAUUAGAAUUUGGAAGUUCUGAUUUAUAUGUAGAGCAGCCCUGAUAUGUCUCUCCAACAUGUAUAAAAAAGGAAAACAAUGCCAGAAUGCCGAAAAUUGAGGCUUCACUAAGGCUAUGAGGAUAUGCAUUUUUCUGCUAAGAACAAAGAUCAAAUGGACUUCUAUUUUUCAGAUUAUCAUUUUGUGGACAGUGAGAUUGCCCAUUUCUCGGUCUCUCAAUAGCUAAGAUGACAUUUCUGAUCUGGAAUCACAUUUCAUGGGAGUUGAAAUGACUAGGCCUUGGUACACUUCAAGAAACUAUGAGUUGGUUUCCAUGGUUGCUCAUUAAUCACUGGAGCAUGUUCAGCACUGUGAUCUGUCACCCCACACUAGGCAUUCUGGGAGAGAGCUGUCUUUCAUAAUUAGAUCGUCCAGUUUCUGUUUUGAAUCUCUUUUCGGAGGGGUUAUGUCUUUGCAUACUUUGUGAUAUGUACUAUUAGCAUGAAAUGAGCAGCUGGAACAACUGGGAUUGGAUGACUAGUUUUGUCCAAACCAAUACUGGAGAUAAACAGAAGAAGUAUUGGGGAAAAAGGAGAGAAGAGUCCUUGGGAUUGUGACUUAUAUCACGGAUAACAUACUUCUCAUGUUGAUUGAUUAGUUGGUCAUCUAUAUGCCCUUUUAUCAUACAAAGGCUCAACCCUUUCCAUGCCUAACGUGUAGAGGAUGCCCCCAUCACCCCUUUCAGCUUCAGUAAUCAGUAAUAAGAAAAACAGAUUACAUGCUGAAAAAAGCACCAGCCUCAGCAACAUCAGUAGAGCCGUUAAGUUAAAGAAUGUGAUUUGGUCUGGAGGUUGGUGCCAACAAGAUCAAAUCUUCUAGGCUGCACAACAAAAGAAAAUGCUUAAGCAUGACAAAUAUAGUAGAACUUUGUGAUGUUACUCAUUAUGAAAUUUAAGGCAUUAGCCUGUUGUAGUUGGCAUAAAA